Molecule: long non-coding RNA, 423 nt
Filed under: Bos indicus x Bos taurus (hybrid cattle)
Lineage: Eukaryota; Metazoa; Chordata; Mammalia; Artiodactyla; Bovidae
Description: lncRNA (ENSBIXG00000026905.1)
Source: RNAcentral
GUUAGUGAGAUGGUUUUGGUGGAGUGAGGAGCGCAGUGAGCAGAGGAGUUGAUGGGAGAUAAACAAAGAUGGCAAGGGUAGAACUAAAUGAAAUUUUGUUUUCAAUAGGAGAAGGGAAAUAGGAUGACAUGAGAGGCAGAUGAGACCUAAUGCCCUAGACAGCCAGAAGUUCCUUUGAAAAACUCCUAUUUUGAAAGUUGUCAAAGUUCUUUCACAUAACUCUCCACUUCUAAUGAACUGGUGCGAUAGAGACAAUAAGAAUAUAUUUACAGAAGGGACCAUAAGAACAUCCUGAGAAGAACUCAAGAUAGAAAAAGAGAAUCAAGACCAUUACAUAUAAGUUUUAGACCUCAAAUCACUUGGAAGAGUUGAAGAUCUAAAGGACAUUUGGGGAAUAAGACAGACAGAGUGAAGCCACAAGAC